This is a long non-coding RNA of Prunus dulcis (almond), 307 nucleotides long. RefSeq lists it as uncharacterized. The transcript has 3 exons. Lineage: Eukaryota; Viridiplantae; Streptophyta; Magnoliopsida; Rosales; Rosaceae. The record is from RefSeq and is a predicted model, not a curated record.
CGAACGAAGCUCAGUAUGAUGUGGUUCCAGAUCUUCUUUUUCGAUUCUUCUGAGCUUAGUAUGGCGUAGAUUGGAGUUCUAUUGCUUCAAUUUCUUUUUCUUUCUUGUUUGAUUUGGUGAUUUUUGGAUUGAUAUGCGCUGCAUGAGACUCGAUUGGAGCUUGGUGAGAUCUGUGAUCUUCGAUUUUUGAGAUUCGUUUUGAUUGUGGAUUUGCUCUUGUGUUUUGGUUUGAGCUGUGGUGAAAAAUUUGUGUUAUUCGAUUUAAUUGAGAGAUAUAUAUGGAUGAUUCGAGAGUGGCGAAGUGCAC